This 166-nucleotide ribosomal RNA is filed under the name Tulipa sylvestris. RNAcentral describes it as "5.8S ribosomal RNA". It matches the Rfam family "5.8S ribosomal RNA". From Rfam's summary of the family: 5.8S ribosomal RNA (5.8S rRNA) is a component of the large subunit of the eukaryotic ribosome. It is transcribed by RNA polymerase I as part of the 45S precursor that also contains 18S and 28S rRNA. Lineage: Eukaryota; Viridiplantae; Streptophyta; Magnoliopsida; Liliales; Liliaceae. RNAcentral also lists the same sequence under 3 other names. The record is from RNAcentral.
AUCAUACGACUCUCGGCAACGGAUAUCUCGGCUCUCGCAUCGAUGAAGAACGUAGCGAAAUGCGAUACUUGGUGUGAAUUGCAGAAUCCCGUGAACCAUCGAGUCUUUGAACGCAAGUUGCGCCCGAGGCCUUUCGGCCGAGGGCACGCCUGCCUGGGCGUCACGC